CAAUAAGCGGAGGAAAAGAAACUAACAAGGAUUCCCCUAGUAACGGCGAGUGAAGCGGGAAGAGCUCAAAUUUGAAAUCUGGCGGCAUCCUGUCGUCCGAGUUGUAAUCUAUAGAAGUGUUUUCCGCGCCGGACCAUGUACAAGUCCCUUGGAACAGGGCGUCAUAGAGGGUGAGAAUCCCGUCCUUGACAUGAUCUCCGGUUGCUAUGUGAUACACUUUCAACGAGUCGAGUUGUUUGGGAAUGCAGCUCAAAAAGGGUGGUGAAUUCCAUCUAAAGCUAAAUAUUGGCGAGAGACCGAUAGCGAACAAGUACCGUGAGGGAAAGAUGAAAAGCACUUUGGAAAGAGAGUUAAACAGUACGUGAAAUUGUUGAAAGGGAAACGAUUGAAGUCAGUCAUGCUCUUUGGGUUAAGCCUUUCGGGGUGUAUUCCAUUGAGUGGGGUCAACAUCAGUUUUGACCGCUGGAAAAAGGCACGAGGAAGGUAGCACUCUCGGGUGAACUUAUAGCCUCGCGUCAUAUACAGUGGUUGGGACUGAGGAACGCAGCAUGCCUUAUGGCCGGGAUUCGUCCACGUACAUGCUUAGGAUGUUGACAUAAUGGCUUUAAACGACCCGUCUUGAAACACGGACCAAGGAGUCUAACAUAUCUGCGAGUAUUUG
This 661-nucleotide ribosomal RNA is filed under the name Cryptococcus sp. CCFEE 5403. RNAcentral's name for it is "LSU rRNA". It matches the Rfam family "Eukaryotic large subunit ribosomal RNA", at positions 44 to 696 of the family's 3401-position model. The record is from RNAcentral. Lineage: Eukaryota; Fungi; Basidiomycota; Tremellomycetes; Tremellales; Cryptococcaceae.